This 922-nucleotide ribosomal RNA is filed under the name Russula nivalis. RNAcentral describes it as "partial large subunit ribosomal RNA". It matches the Rfam family "Eukaryotic large subunit ribosomal RNA", at positions 56 to 960 of the family's 3401-position model. The record is from RNAcentral. Lineage: Eukaryota; Fungi; Basidiomycota; Agaricomycetes; Russulales; Russulaceae.
GGUAGUAGACUAACAGGAUUCCCCUAGUAACUGCGAGUGAAGCGGGAAAAGCUCAAAUUUAAAAUCUGGUGGCCUCUGGUCAUCCGAGUUGUAAUUUAGAGAAGCGUCUUCCGCGCUGGACCGUGCACAAGUCUCCUGGAAUGGAGCGUCAUAGAGGGUGAGAAUCCCGUCUUUGGCAUGGACCCCAGGGCUUCUGUGAUGCGCUCUCGAAGAGUCGAGUUGUUUGGGAAUGCAGCUCAAAAUGGGUGGUGAACUCCAUCUAAAGCUAAAUAUUGGCGAGAGACCGAUAGCGAACAAGUACCGUGAGGGAAAGAUGAAAAGCACUUUGGAAAGAGAGUGAAACAGUACGUGAAAUUGUUGAAAGGGAAACGCUUGAAGUCAGUCGCGUCGUCCGAGACUCAGCCUCGCCUUGGCUUGGUGUACUUCUCGGUUGACGGGUCAGCAUCAAUUUUGCCCCUCGGAUAAUGGCGAGGGAAAUGUGACACCUUUACGGGUGUGUUAUAGUCCUCCGUCGCAUGCGAGGGUCGGGAUUGAGGAACUCAGCACGCGCUUCGGCGUCGGGGCUUUGCCCACGAUACGUGCUUAGGAUGUUGGCGUAAUGGCUUUAAACGACCCGUCUUGAAACACGGACCAAGGAGUCUAACAUGCCCGCGAGUGUUCGGGUGGAAAACCCGUGCGCGAAAUGAAAGUGAAAGUUGGGACCUCUGUCGUGGAGGGCACCGACGCCCGGACCAGACCUUCUGUGACGGAUCUGCGGUAGAGCGUGUAUGUUAGGACCCGAAAGAUGGUGAACUAUGCCUGAAUAGGGUGAAGCCAGAGGAAACUCUGGUGGAGGCUCGUAGCGAUUCUGACGUGCAAAUCGAUCGUCAAAUUUGGGUAUAGGGGCGAAAGACUAAUCGAACCAUCUAGUAGCUGGUUCUGC